This 305-nucleotide ribosomal RNA is filed under the name uncultured bacterium. RNAcentral describes it as "bacterial SSU rRNA". It matches the Rfam family "Bacterial small subunit ribosomal RNA", at positions 334 to 639 of the family's 1533-position model. The record is from RNAcentral.
GACCUACGGGAGGCAGCAGUGAGGAAUAUUGGUCAAUGGGCGGGAGCCUGAACCAGCCAAGUCGCGUGAAGGAAGAAGGUACUUAGUAUCGUAAACCUCUUUUGUCAGGGGACAAAGACUGGGACGCGUCCCCGGAUGAGUGUACCUGAAGAAAAAGCAUCGGCUAACUCCGUGCCAGCAGCCGCGGUAAUACGGAGGAUGCGAGCGUUAUCCGGAUUUAUUGGGUUUAAAGGGUGCGCAGGCGGUCUGUUAAGUCAGCGGUCAAAGCCCGGGGCUCAACCCCGGCCCGCCGUUGAAACUGGCAG